Molecule: ribosomal RNA, 442 nt
Filed under: uncultured bacterium
Lineage: Bacteria
Description: bacterial SSU rRNA
Rfam family: Bacterial small subunit ribosomal RNA
Source: RNAcentral
AUUGAACGCUGGCGGCAUGCCUUACACAUGCAAGUCGAACGGCAGCGGACCUUCGGGUGCCGGCGAGUGGCGAACGGGUGAGUAAUAUAUCGGAACGUACCUUUCAGUGGGGGAUAACGUAGCGAAAGUUACGCUAAUACCGCAUACUCUGUGAGCAGGAAAGCAGGGGAUCGCAAGACCUUGCGCUGAUUGAGCGGCCGAUAUCAGAUUAGCUAGUUGGUGAGGUAAAGGCUCACCAAGGCGACGAUCUGUAGCGGGUCUGAGAGGAUGAUCCGCCACACUGGAACUGAGACACGGUCCAGACUCCUACGGGAGGCAGCAGUGGGGAAUUUUGGACAAUGGGCGCAAGCCUGAUCCAGCCAUGCCGCGUGAGUGAAGAAGGCCUCGGUUGUAAGGACUCUUUCGGUCCGGGAACGGAAAUACGACACAGGUUAAUAACCCU